RNAcentral lists this ribosomal RNA (236 nucleotides) under uncultured bacterium. RNAcentral describes it as "partial 16S ribosomal RNA". It matches the Rfam family "Bacterial small subunit ribosomal RNA", at positions 99 to 334 of the family's 1533-position model. The record is from RNAcentral.
CGUACGGGUGAGUAACACGUGGGUAAUCUACCUCUUAGUGAGGAAUAACCCUGGGAAACCGGGGCUAAUACCGCAUAAGCCUGAGAAGGGAAAGCGGCUUUGCUUAAAACAGAGCCGCGCUGAGAGAGGAGCCCGCGGCCGAUUAGCUAGUUGGUGAGGUAAGAGCCCACCAAGGCAGAGAUCGGUAGCCGGCCUGAGAGGGCACACGGCCACACUGGCACUGAAACACGGGCCAG